Molecule: non-coding RNA, 21 nt
Filed under: Caenorhabditis elegans
Lineage: Eukaryota; Metazoa; Nematoda; Chromadorea; Rhabditida; Rhabditidae
Source: RNAcentral
UGGAAUCUGCUUCAAUCAGGG